Long non-coding RNA from Entelurus aequoreus (snake pipefish), 842 nucleotides. RefSeq lists it as uncharacterized. The transcript is spliced from 4 exons. The record is from RefSeq and is a predicted model, not a curated record. NCBI's taxonomy places the organism in Eukaryota, Metazoa, Chordata, Actinopteri, Syngnathiformes, Syngnathidae.
CGUUGUGCUGGGAGCUCCACUAGGGCACACCUGACUUUCUCCUGGCAGUCAUUACAGGCGUGAGCAGAACCAGGUUGUGUCCUCGUAUCUGUAUCACUCAAACAUCUCCCUUCUCAGGUGGCGACUUGUCCAAGGUGUACCCCGCCUUCCGCCCCAAUGCAGCUGAGAUAGGCUCCAGCAACCCCCGCGACCCCAAAAGGGACAAGCGGUAGAAAAAUGGAUGGAUGGAUGGAGACAUCUUCAAAUACUGUUACACCAAGGUUCACCAUACCAAAAGGUCUUAGUUUAAGUGUACACACAGCAGCGAUGCAGUUUUCAGCCUUAAGGUGAAGUACUCUCAGCUGUGGUCGUCAAUACUCACUGACAAAAUGUUGCCCGCUGAUGUGCACCGGUCCUGACCCUGACAGGAGACGUAAGGUGACUGGCGGCGUGAUCUCAAAGCCACCUAAAGUCAUCUGGGGGACAUGAGAGACGGAUGAUAUUUUCUUCAGACCACUUCAAGUGUGACUUCAUUGCUUGUUCACUCACAGAGGGAAGGACGGAUGGCUUCAGCACAACCAGCGGCACUUUGGUGGUCUUUCCGUCAUAAGUCAGGGCCUCCACUUCCACCAUGUGGAACUUGUCCUCGGCCUCGGCUCCCAAGCACGCCUACAAGAACCCAGCCUUUAUCUACCACAAACUUCUGCCAUGCUACUAAUAUAUUUGCAGGUCAUGGCUGUCUUAAAGGGCAACUGCACUUUUUUGGAAUGUUGCCAAUUAUUUACAAUCCUUAUGUAAGACAAGAACACAUGUUUAUUCUUUUUUUUUAUGCACUUACUCGUAAAUAAACCUCAGCAAAAAUG